RNAcentral lists this ribosomal RNA (460 nucleotides) under uncultured bacterium. RNAcentral describes it as "partial 16S ribosomal RNA". It matches the Rfam family "Bacterial small subunit ribosomal RNA", at positions 338 to 795 of the family's 1533-position model. The record is from RNAcentral.
CCUACGGGAGGCAGCAGUGAGGAAUAUUGGUCAAUGGGCUUACGCCUGAACCAGCCAAGUCGCGUGAGGGAAGACUGCCCUAUGGGUUGUAAACCUCUUUUGUCAGGGAGCAACGCCGGCUACGUGUAGCCUGACUGAGAGCACCUGCAGAAAAAGCAUCGGCUAACUCCGUGCCAGCACCCGCGUUACUACGGAGGACCCGAGCGUUAUCCGGAUUUAUCGGGUUAAAAGGGCGCGUAGGCGGAUAUCCAUGUCAGCGGUAAAAUCGCGGGGCUAAACCUAACUCCGCCGUUGAAACUGGCAUUCUUGAGUGUGCGAGAGGUAUGCGGAAUGCGUGGUGUAGCGGUGAAAUGCAUAGAGAUCACGAAGAACUCCGAUUGCGAAGGCAGCAUACCAGCGCCCAACUGACGCUGAAGCACGAAAGCGUGGGUAUCGAACAGGAUUAGAUACCCCUGUAGUC